GAGGUGUAGAAUAGGUGGGAGCUU
Molecule: non-coding RNA, 24 nt
Filed under: Gallus gallus (chicken)
Lineage: Eukaryota; Metazoa; Chordata; Aves; Galliformes; Phasianidae
Also listed under: 2 other names
Source: RNAcentral